Molecule: non-coding RNA, 1230 nt
Organism: Musa acuminata subsp. malaccensis (wild Malaysian banana)
Lineage: Eukaryota; Viridiplantae; Streptophyta; Magnoliopsida; Zingiberales; Musaceae
Source: RefSeq, a predicted model, not a curated record
UAGGAAGUGGAAAAAUCAGAGCUCAAAGUGACAAAUCAAUGAAGUUCAAGGAUGGUUACAUGAUUUCUUUUGGUCAGCCUGUCCACGAAUACAGAGGUUCUACUGUGAGGCAUCUUCUCCUCAGACAGAAGAUACUACUAAUGAGAGCAAAUUGAUCCUGUAUGGGCUUUACUAGCAAGCAACUGUUGGAUCAGUGAAUACUUGCUGACCUGGUAUAUUCAAUAUGAGGGACUGAGCCAACUGGGAUGCUUGGAAGGCUGUUGAAGGGAAGGAAGUCAAAGGAGGAGGCUAUGAGUGACUACAUCACCAUGGAAGAUUUUGAAGAAUAUGUUGCAAAAGCUAAAACUUUACCUGAAAAUACUACUAAAGAGAGCAAAUUGAUCCUGUAUGGGCUUUACUAGCUAACAAUUGUUGGACCAGUGAAUACUUGCUGACCUGGUAUAUUCAAUAUGAGGGAGUGAGCCAACUGGGAUGCUUGGAAGGCUAUUGAAGGGAAGGAAGUCAAAGUAGGAGGCUAUGAGUGACUACAUCACCAAGGUUAAACAGCUACUCGAGGCAACUGUUGUUGCUGCUUAUGCUACUUUGUCACAUCUUGCUCUAUGUAGUACCAUUGAGGUCUUCACAAGAGCCACUAAGUUGUGGAUGGGUACUUCGGUGUUGAGGUCAGCAUCGGUGAUCAUUAUUAGAGCCACCAAGACCCUGAACGUACUUGGUACCGAUCUCCAAUUUAUGUUAAGCCUCAGUGAUACACUCGAUUUGGACUCUGUAUCAUAAUUGUAUAUGUUGAGAAGGGGAGAAGGAUACUGGAGUUGACUUCUGCGGUCUAGUAAAGAUUCAACUUUCUGGAAAAUGGUGUGGAACUCUACGUCGAGAAGGUCAACAAUAGAGAGCUUUGUGCGAUUGCUCAGGCUGUCUUUCCGGUACAAGCUUCUCACGAUUUUCACUGGAAUCAGUUUGACAACUACGAGAGUAUUCUGGUUCUUCCUUGCAUAGCCUUGGUUUAAAUAUGGGUUUCUGAGACUAGAUGAUCUUCAUGCAAUUGGUUGUAAAGUGAUUCCUUACAUUAAGGCUUGUCAAGGUGUCAUGUGCUUUGUCAUGGAAAGUGGUGCUAAAGGUUGUAAGGGUGUCCUCGAUAUCAAAGUAAAGAUCAUGUUGGAUUGGGAUCCUAAAGGAAAGCAGGGCCUCAUGACUCCUUUGCUAGAUCAUGUUACAAUUCAUGCCCCAUAGGAG